This is an RNA transcript of Nycticebus coucang (slow loris), 1215 nucleotides long. It is a transcript of the gene named tumor susceptibility gene 101 protein-like, with no coding region annotated. Lineage: Eukaryota; Metazoa; Chordata; Mammalia; Primates; Lorisidae. The record is from RefSeq and is a predicted model, not a curated record. The transcript has a single exon.
AUGGAGUACAAAUACAGAGACCUAACUGUACGUGAAACUGUCAAUGUUACUACUCUAUCCAAAGAUCUCAAACCUGUAUUGGAUUCAUAUGUGUUUAAUGAUGGCAGUUCCAGGGAACUAAUGAACCUCACUGGGACAAUUCCUGUGCCUUAUAGAGGUAACACAUAUAAUAUUCUGAUAUGCCUAUGGCUGCUGGACACGUACCCAUAUAAUCCCCCUAUCUGUUUUGUUAAGCCUACUAGUUCAAUGACUAUUAAAACAGGAAAGCAUGUUGAUGCAAAUGGCAAGAUAUAUCUUCCUUAUCUACAUGAGUGGAAACAUCCACAGUCAGACUUAUCGGGACUUAUUGAGGUCAUGAUUGUGGUAUUUGGAGAAGAACCUCCAGUCUUUUCUUGUCCCACUAUUUCAGCAUCCUAUCCACCAUACCAAGCAACAGGGCCACCAAAUACUUCCUACAUGCCAGGCAUGCCAAGUGGAAUUUCUGCAUAUCCAUCUGGAUACCUUCCCAAUCCCAGUGGUUACCCAGGUUGUUCUUACCCACCUGGUAGCUCAUAUCCUACCACAACAAGUUCCCAAUAUCCUUCCCAGCCUCCUGUGACCACUGUUGGUCCCAGUAGAGAUGGCACAAUCAGUGAGGACACCAUCCGAGCCUCUCUCAUCUCAGCAGUCAGUGACAAAUUGAGAUGGAGGAUGAAGGAAGAAAUGGAUCGUGCCCAAGCAGAGCUCAAUGCCUUGAAACAGAGAAAGACCUGAAAAAAGGUCACCAGAAACUGGAAGAGAUGGUUACUCGUUUAGAUCAAGAAGUAGCUGAGGGUGAUAAAAACACAGAACUUUUGAAAAAGAAGGAUGAAGAACUCAGUUCUGCUCUGGAGAAAAUGGAAAAUCGGUCUGAAAACAAUGAUAUUGAUGAAGUUAUCAUUCCCACAGCCCCACUAUACAAACAGAUUUUAAAUCUGUAUGCAGAGGAAAAUGCAAUUGAAGACACUAUCUUUUACCUGGGAGAAGCCUUAAGGCGAGGAGUAAUAGACCUGGAUGUCUUCCUGAAGCAUGUACGUCUUCUGUCCCGUCUUCUGUCCCGUAAACAGUUCCAGCUGAGGGCCCUAAUGCAAAAAGCAAGAAAGACUGCUGGUCUUAGUGACCUCUACUGACUGCUCUAAUACCAGCUGGAGAUUGAGCUCAUCUUAAAACAUUUUCUUUUCUUCUCUUUCUUUCUCU